This 250-nucleotide small RNA is filed under the name Vigna angularis var. angularis. Its description in RNAcentral is "Non-protein coding transcript". Lineage: Eukaryota; Viridiplantae; Streptophyta; Magnoliopsida; Fabales; Fabaceae. The record is from RNAcentral.
GUUGGCAUAAGGUUAAGGUUAAGGUUCACUCUUUCUUGCUCUCUCGCUUCUCCAAGGACGUUAAGGUUCACUCUUUCUGAAUCACAACCAAACCACAGAGGGAAGGUUCUGAAUCUGAACAGUUUUGGGGUUUUGGGAUUUGGUAGGAGGAAAAUAAGAAUAUCCCAGUCAAAAGAUCCUUAGAGAGGCUGAAAGUGAUCUUCACCUAUUUUCUUGUCACUACUCAACAGGGUACAUGCUCUUGCCAGGU